AACGAACGCUGGCGGCAUGCCUAACACAUGCAAGUCGAACGAAGUCUUCGGACUUAGUGGCGCACGGGUGCGUAACGCGUGGGAAUCUGCCCUUGGGUACGGAAUAACUCAGAGAAAUUUGUGCUAAUACCGUAUAAUGUCUUCGGACCAAAGAUUUAUCGCCCAAGGAUGAGCCCGCGUAAGAUUAGCUAGUUGGUGGGGUAAAAGCCUACCAAGGCGACGAUCUUUAGCUGGUCUGAGAGGAUGAUCAGCCACACUGGGACUGAGACACGGCCCAGACUCCUACGGGAGGCAGCAGUGGGGAAUAUUGGACAAUGGGCGAAAGCCUGAUCCAGCAAUGCCGCGUGAGUGAUGAAGGCCUUAGGGUUGUAAAGCUCUUUUACCAGGGAUGAUAAUGACAGUACCUGGAGAAUAAGCUCCGGCUAACUCCGUG
RNAcentral lists this ribosomal RNA (433 nucleotides) under uncultured bacterium. Its description in RNAcentral is "partial 16S ribosomal RNA". It matches the Rfam family "Bacterial small subunit ribosomal RNA", at positions 29 to 507 of the family's 1533-position model. The record is from RNAcentral.